UAAGGAAUAUUGGGCAAUGGACGCAAGUCUGACCCAGCCAUGCCGCGUGGAGGAUGAAGGUCCUCUGGAUUGUAAACUUCUUUUAUAUGGGACGAAAAAGGGUCUUUCUAGAUCAACUGACGGUACCAUGUGAAUAAGCACCGGCUAACUCCGUGCCAGCAGCCGCGGUAAUACGGAGGGUGCAAGCGUUAUCCGGAUUCACUGGGUUUAAAGGGUGCGUAGGUGGGGUGGUAAGUCAGUGGUGAAAUCUCCAGGCUUAACUUGGAAACUGCCAUUGAUACUAUCAUUCUUGAAUACCGUGGAGAUGAGCGGAAUAUGUCAUGUAGCGGUGAAAUGCUUAGAUAUGACAUAGAACACCAAUUGCGAAGGCAGCUCGUUACACGAAUAUUGACACUCAGGCACGAAAGCGUGGGGAUCAAA
This 420-nucleotide ribosomal RNA is filed under the name uncultured bacterium. Its description in RNAcentral is "bacterial SSU rRNA". It matches the Rfam family "Bacterial small subunit ribosomal RNA", at positions 355 to 772 of the family's 1533-position model. The record is from RNAcentral.